This 113-nucleotide small nuclear RNA is filed under the name Salmo salar (Atlantic salmon). RNAcentral's name for it is "U5 spliceosomal RNA (ENSSSAG00000104421.1)". It matches the Rfam family "U5 spliceosomal RNA". From Rfam's summary of the family: U5 RNA is a component of both types of known spliceosome. The record is from RNAcentral. Lineage: Eukaryota; Metazoa; Chordata; Actinopteri; Salmoniformes; Salmonidae.
GACUCUGGUCUCUUCACUACGCAAAGCCUUUCGCCUUUACUAAAGACUUCCGCGGAGAGGAACACCUACGAAGUUCAACGUAUUUUUGGAAGGGCUUUGCUUUCUGGCAGAGC